CCCUACGGGGGGCAGCAGUAGGGAAUCUUCGGCAAUGGGCGAAAGCCUGACCGAGCAACGCCGCGUGAAUGAAGAAGGCCUUCGGGUUGUAAAAUUCUGUUAUAAGGGAAGAAAGGUGAUAGGAGGAAAUGACUAUCAAUUGACGGUACCUUAUGAGAAAGCCACGGCUAACUACGUGCCAGCAGCCGCGGUAAUACGUAGGUGGCAAGCGUUAUCCGGAUUUAUUGGGUUUAAAGGGUGCGUAGGCGGGACGGUAAGUCAGCGGUAAAAAUGCGGAGCUCAACUCCGUCGAGCCGUUGAAACUG
This 305-nucleotide ribosomal RNA is filed under the name uncultured bacterium. RNAcentral's name for it is "bacterial SSU rRNA". It matches the Rfam family "Bacterial small subunit ribosomal RNA", at positions 337 to 635 of the family's 1533-position model. The record is from RNAcentral.